UGUUCGGGUUAAGUCCCGUAACGAGCGCAACCCUUGUCCUUAGUUACCAGCACGUUAUGGUGGGCACUCUAAGGAGACUGCCGGUGGACAAACCGGAGGAAGGUGGGGAUGACGUCAAGUCCAUCAUGGCCCUUACGGCCUGGGCUACACACGUGCUACAAUGGUCGGUACAAAGGGUUGCCAAGCCGCGAGGGUGGAGCUAAUCCCAAUAAAACCGAUCGUAGUCCGGAUCGCAGUCUGCAACUCGACUGCGUGAAGUCGGAAUCGCUAGUAAUCGUGAAUCAGAAUGUCACGGUGAAUACGUUCCCGGGCCUU
Molecule: ribosomal RNA, 315 nt
Filed under: uncultured Pseudomonas sp.
Lineage: Bacteria; Pseudomonadati; Pseudomonadota; Gammaproteobacteria; Pseudomonadales; Pseudomonadaceae
Description: bacterial SSU rRNA
Rfam family: Bacterial small subunit ribosomal RNA
Source: RNAcentral